GUCUACGGCCACACCACCCUGAACACGCCCGAUCUCGUCUGAUCUCGGAAGCUAAGCAGGGUCGGCCUGGUUAGUACUUGGAUGGGAGAAGUAGAGGACAGAAGAGUAUAUGGAUGUAGGCA
Molecule: ribosomal RNA, 122 nt
Filed under: Microcebus murinus (gray mouse lemur)
Lineage: Eukaryota; Metazoa; Chordata; Mammalia; Primates; Cheirogaleidae
Source: RNAcentral